GAUGAACGCUAGCUACAGGCUUAACACAUGCAAGUCGAGGGGUAACGAGAGGGAAGCUUGCUUUCCUUGUCGACGACCGGCGCACGGGUGAGUAACGCGUAUCCAACCUGCCCCCAACUAGGGAAUAACCUUGCGAAAGUAAGACUAAUACCCUAUAAUUUCCUCAGAUGUCAUCUGACGAGGAAUAAAGAUUUAUCGGUUGUGGAUGGGGAUGCGUCUGAUUAGCUUGUUGGCGGGGUAACGGCCCACCAAGGCAACGAUCAGUAGGGGUUCUGAGAGGAAGGUCCCCCACAUUGGAACUGAGGCACGGUCCAAACUCCUACGGGAGGCGGCAGUGAGGAGUAUUGGUCAAUGGGCGGAAGCCUGAACCAGCCAAGUAGCGUGCAGGAUGACGGCCCUAUGGGUUGUAAACUGCUUUUAUACAGGAAUAAAGUUAGCCACGUGUGGUUAUUUGUAGGUACUGUAUGAAUAAGGACCGGCUAAUUCCGUGCCAGCCGCCGCCGUAA
RNAcentral lists this ribosomal RNA (506 nucleotides) under uncultured bacterium. RNAcentral describes it as "partial 16S ribosomal RNA". It matches the Rfam family "Bacterial small subunit ribosomal RNA", at positions 28 to 523 of the family's 1533-position model. The record is from RNAcentral.